Molecule: non-coding RNA, 84 nt
Organism: Mycena metata
Lineage: Eukaryota; Fungi; Basidiomycota; Agaricomycetes; Agaricales; Mycenaceae
Source: the annotation of a GenBank genome assembly
ACACUGAUGGUGAAGCGGUUAUCAUGCUUGCCUUCCAUUGUUAGCGGUAAGCAAGCGGCAGGGGUUCGACUCCCCUUCAGUGUA